GCUCGAGUGGCGAACGGGUGAGUAACACGUGAGUAACCUGCCCUUGACUUUGGGAUAACUUCAGGAAACUGGGGCUAAUACCGGAUGGGAGCUCCUGCUGCAUGGUGGGGGUUGGAAAGUUUCGGCGGUUGGGGAUGGACUCGCGGCUUAUCAGCUUGUUGGUGGGGUAGUGGCUUACCAAGGCUUUGACGGGUAGCCGGCCUGAGAGGGUGACCGGCCACAUUGGGACUGAGAUACGGCCCAG
This 244-nucleotide ribosomal RNA is filed under the name uncultured Actinomycetales bacterium. RNAcentral's name for it is "partial 16S ribosomal RNA". It matches the Rfam family "Bacterial small subunit ribosomal RNA", at positions 89 to 334 of the family's 1533-position model. The record is from RNAcentral. Lineage: Bacteria; Bacillati; Actinomycetota; Actinomycetes; Actinomycetales.